This 253-nucleotide ribosomal RNA is filed under the name uncultured bacterium. RNAcentral's name for it is "partial 16S ribosomal RNA". It matches the Rfam family "Bacterial small subunit ribosomal RNA", at positions 524 to 776 of the family's 1533-position model. The record is from RNAcentral.
UACGUAGGGGGCAAGCGUUGUCCGGAAUUAUUGGGCGUAAAGAGCGCGUAGGCGGUCCGAUAAGUCGGCUGUGAAAGUCAGGGGCUCAACCCUUGAAAGCCGGCCGAUACUGUCGGACUAGAGUCCGGAAGAGGCAAGUGGAAUUCCCGGUGUAGCGGUGAAAUGCGCAGAUAUCGAGAGGAACACCAGUGGCGAAGGCGGGUCUCUGGACAACACCUGACGCUGAGGCACGAAAGCCAGGGGAGCAAACGGG